This is a non-coding RNA of Camellia sinensis, 1322 nucleotides long. Lineage: Eukaryota; Viridiplantae; Streptophyta; Magnoliopsida; Ericales; Theaceae. The record is from RefSeq and is a predicted model, not a curated record.
GUAGUGCCUGGAUGAUCAUAGCACAAUUCAUGUUCUUGCAAUUUGAAAUUUGUAGGCCCCCAAUUUAGAAGGUCCCGUACUUGGAAAUGUUAUUAGCAAGACAAUUGAAUAAUCCUGAGAUAUAUUAUUGAAGUUUGAAAUUUGUAGCCUUACAAAACAAGAUUUUCUCCAAGUGUUUCCCACAAACACUCCAUUAAUCCCAAUAGUUUAAAAACCCUUUUACGAAUGAUGUGGGAAAGAAGUAACACAAGGUUUUAGAACAAUAUACUUUUAAGGAGUUGAAUUUAAACAACAAAGCUCAAAAGCAAAAGAAUAUGGAAGUUGAAGCUUAAAACUUGAAAGAUCUUGAUGGGUAUUACAUUUAAUCCUUCAUCCCAUGUUUGUAGACAUGUAAAAAUCUUGUUUUAUAGCCCUUCGUCUCAUUUUGGUCAUUCCAGUGCAGUAAAUGCGUCUCUAACAGUUGAAACGAAGUAGCUGUUGCAUAUUUUAGAAUUUAAAUUUCGCGACGAAGGAGUCAACUUAUUUUGAAUCUAGGGAUUCGAUUUAUUUUGUCAAGGAGUUGACUAAUCCUUUUAUCUGCAUGACAACUGGAGUUCAGGGUCGAAUCAUUUAUUUGAGGUCGCCUCAAGACCUUCAAUGUUUUUAAGAUUUUCACGUGUUAAGCAUCUCAAACUCAUCCAAAACCCUUUCUAACUCCAAAAUAAUUUAGAUAAUGAACAUUUAAUCACAAAACAAAUAUCAAAGACUUAUUUUGGAGCUUUUUAAUCUCAAUCAUUACAGCAGGAAAAAUGUAAAACUUUUAAAACACUUGUACUCCUUUUGUAAUGAAUUAUUCAUCAAAUACUAAUGACAAAAUCAUGUUACAUUCUCAUAUUUCAUUAAGCUAUCCAAUAGCUAACACCAAAGGAUAUUGACAAUUCAAAGUACAAGUUUAUCAUUUGCUAGCCACUCACUAAUUUUGUAUUGUGAAAUAUCAAACAUAUAUCACUGUAAAACACAACCAACAAAAGCAUCAUAGACAAUAUCAAAACUAAACCAUAGGUCUAAUUUCUCUUUCAUUUGAAGCAUUUUGAGGCUUCUUGAAUUCAACCCUUAUUCUUUUGUUAUGUUUACAGUUAAAAUAGAAUACAAGUAUCUUGGCAAACUAACCCCAAGGGGUUGGCCUAGUGGUCAAGACCUAGGCCUGGGGUGUGCUCCCUUCAAAACCUUCUAAGUGCAAACAAUUUCUGGGACUUUGCCCCGACCCCCCACUAGUGGAUGGUGGGAUUGGUCUUCCGGAGUAGUCGGUCUAGUGGGCCAGAUGCUGAGUUAUCAAAAAAAAA